RNAcentral lists this ribosomal RNA (467 nucleotides) under uncultured bacterium. RNAcentral's name for it is "partial 16S ribosomal RNA". It matches the Rfam family "Bacterial small subunit ribosomal RNA", at positions 28 to 506 of the family's 1533-position model. The record is from RNAcentral.
GACGAACGCUGGCGGCGUGCUUAACACAUGCAAGUCGAACGGAAAGGCCCUGCUUUUGUGGGGUGCUCGAGUGGCGAACGGGUGAGUAACACGUGAGUAACCUGCCCUUGACUUUGGGAUAACUUCAGGAAACUGGGGCUAAUACCGGAUAGGAGCUCCUGCUGCAUGGUGGGGGUUGGAAAGUUUCGGCGGUUGGGGAUGGACUCGCGGCUUAUCAACUUGUUGGUGGGGUAGUGGCUUACCAAGGCUUUGACGGGUAGCCGGCCUGAGAGGGUGACCGGCCACAUGGGGACUGAGAUACGGCCCAGACUCCUACGGGAGGCAGCAGUGGGGAAUAUUGCACAAUGGGCGGAAGCCUGAUGCAGCAACGCCGCGUGCGGGAUGACGGCCUUCGGGUUGUAAACCGCUUUCGCCUGUGACGAAGCGUGAGUGACGGUAAUGGGGAAAGAAGCACCGGCUAACUACGU